RNA transcript from Felis catus (domestic cat), 14104 nucleotides. It is a transcript of the gene named NADH:ubiquinone oxidoreductase subunit B4, with no coding region annotated. The record is from RefSeq and is a predicted model, not a curated record. Lineage: Eukaryota; Metazoa; Chordata; Mammalia; Carnivora; Felidae. The transcript has 7 exons.
GCGGAAAGAAGCUGAGUUCUUUGUCUCGCUCUCUCGCCUACCUUCAGCUGACGCGCAAGCGCACUCCCGCUGGAUGAAGGUCAGAAUAAAGUGGGGGAGGGCCUCGGAGUCGCGCAGGCGCGCUUCUGUGCCGGACUGCCAAGAUGUCGUUCCCCAAGUACCAGCCUUCGCGCCUGGCCACUCUACCCUCCACCCUCGACCCAGCCGAAUACGACGUAUCGCCAGAAGCCCGGAAGGCGCAAGCCGAGCGGUUGGCCAUAAGAUCCCGACUUAAACGGGAGUACCUGCUUCAGUACAACGACCCCAGCCGCCGAGGGCUCAUCGAAGAUCCUGCCUUGAUUCGUUGGACCUAUGCAAGAUCAGCAAAUAUCUAUCCCAAUUUCAGACCCACUCCCAAGACCUCACUCUUAGGAGCUCUAUUUGGAAUUGGGCCCCUCUUCUUCUGGUUUUAUGUUUUCAAAACUGACAGAGUAUGGGUGUGCCUCAGAAUGGCUGAGGGUGCUUACAGGCUUCUCACAGGAGGGGGAAGAAAACCUAGGGCGGGAAGCAAGUGAUGUGCUGCACAGCUGAGGUGUCUUGUUGACAGUUCCACACCUGCAGGAGCUAGGAGCUGCAGCAGCAAUUGGAGUAAAAAGACUGGCCGAGAGGAAAUGAGGCUCUAAAGAAAAUGGGGAGUGGAAAUGAGGAAGGAGGCAACUGGCUGAGUCUGCUCCAGAAAUCAAUGUAGGAGGGACUCAGGGGGUACCUGUCUGAUAUGAAAUUGUUGUGAGUAGGAGGAGAAGGUGAAGGAACUUCUCUUGAAACUACAUCUGCACAGUGCUGGACAGUCCGUAAGGUUAAAUACAGCCACCUGCUGGGAUGAAUACCACACCCAUUCUACAGAUGGGGGAAAAUGGAGCACAGAGAAGUUAAGUAACUUAUUCAGGGUUUGUAGGAACUAAGAGCUAGGAUUUUUUUUAAGCUUAUUUUUAUUUAUUUUGAGAGAGAGAUAGAGAGCAAUCAGGGGAGGGGCAGAGAGAGAGAGGGAGACUGAAUCCCAAGCAGGCUCUGCACUGUCAGUGCAGAGCCCAGUGUGGGACUUGAAUUCAUGAACUGUGAGAUUGUGACCUGAGCCAAAAUCAAGAUUUGGACAUUUAACCUACUAAGCCACUCGGGUGUCCCCAAAGAGCUAGGAUUUGAUCCCAGGUCUGACGCAAGUCCGAAUAUCUUUCUACCCUACCACAUCAGAAGUCUAGUAUACAUUUAGGGGUGUGUACAUACACACACGGGCAUAUACACACAGAGAGACACACACUCUCCUCUCCUGACUCCUUCUCUCUGACGUUGGAGAAAUACAAAAGCAGCUACUCCUCUCAACAAGGUUGGGGACCCCCAAGGCUGCCAGAGCCUGGCAUUUAACUUGCUUACCAUGGUGCCAUCAGCAAUCCUCUCGGGUGCCAGCUUGGCUUUGCUGGCCUUCUCAAAGCAGUCAGCAUCAGGCCCGUGGGGGGUCAUUGAGCUGUGCAGGCUGCCUCCCCCUGGCAGGAAUCCACCUUGCUUUGCCUCAUAGUGACCUUUGAUAAGUCCCAUGAAUUCACUCAUGCAGUUCCCUAGGAGGGUUGAAAUAGUAUUAUUUUAAUGUUUAUUCAUUUUUGAGAGAUGGAGAGAGAGCAUGGGCGAGGGAGACACAGAAUCUGAAGCAGGCUCCAGGUUCUGAGCUGUCAGCACAGAGCCCGAUGCAGGGCUUGAACCUAUGGACCAUGGGAUCGUAACCUGAGCUGAAGUUGGACGCUUAACCAACUGAGCCACCCAGGCACCCCUGAAAUAAUAUUAUUUUAAUUAUCUAAGGCAAAACCUGUAAAAUACCAAGACCUCCCAAGCAUUUUUUCUGUGCACUGCCAAGAAGAUAGGAGAAUAUGAUACAUUUUUAGGAUUACUAAAGAAUACAGAGGCGGGAGGAACCCACAAAACAUUCAUUAAUGUGGAACCCUUGGUAGGCAAAACUCUACUUGAUGGCCAUGUGGAUUGUCAGAGGUCUUAAGUUCCAUUGCCUGAAACAAAUGAUGUUGAAUCUAAAGAAAAUCAUAGCCAGACGAUUUUAAUAAUAAUUAAAAUGAAAGUAAUAAUAAAGAAUAGAUGUACUCUGUCAUCUAGGCUUAUAAGCCCCAUAUUAAAAUGAUCUUUUUUCCCACAUCUUAUCUAAUCCUCCUCCAAAUAGCCCCACAGUAGUACAUGGUAUCACCAUAUUUCUGAUUCCCAAUCCAGAAAACUGAGAUGGAGAGAGAGAGAGAGAGAGAGUGUGUGUGUGUGUGUGUGUGUGUGUGUGUGUGUGUGUGUGUUGAUGGAAGGGUCAUAUAAUGGAAAGAACGCUGGACUUGGAGUCUAUUAUCAAAUGAUAAUCCAUGUGAAAGGAUCUUAGUAUCUGUAAAAAACAGUCCAUAAAUGCUAUAUAGUCUAACAAAUACUAUCUUCUGUAGCUGAAUCUACCAUCUUAUUUUCCACUCUCCAAAAUGCCUCUGAGAUUCAUUCUUUUCUUUCUAUUUCCAUUGAUACUCUCUUUAUAGAAUCCUAAAUUUUUUAAAUUGGAAAGGAUCACUACUUCUACUCAGUACAGAAGAAUAUUUUAUGUCAUUCCUGGCAUUACUUCUUGGGUCUGCCUGCAUGCCUCCUGUGAAUGGAAGCUUUCUACUCAACAAAGCAGUCUACCAUAUUAUUGAAAAGCUCUGGGUGUUAGAAAGUUCUCUCACAUUAAAUGGAAAUUUGCUUUAAUAUAAGUAUGUUGGUUUUGUGCUUUCUGGAGUCAAAAAAUUUGACAAAAAAAAUCACCAUGUGCCUACUAUUUCAAUCAUGUUUCUAUUGAAAUAAACCUCUUUAUUGGAACAGCAACAUAUUUAGAGCAAGAAUUAAAGAAAUACAACACCUGAGCAAAUUUAAGUGUCUUUCUAUCCAUUCACCCAUCUACCCAUCCAUCUGUCCAUUCUCCACCCCAUCUGUCUACCGAUCCAUCCAUCCCACAGAUGUAAUUGAACACUCUGCUAAGUUCUGUGAUUGAGUAAGAAAUAGCCCCUGUAAAGUUACUUUCAUAGUCCCUUCUGUGACAGUGCCGAGAGUGAAAAUCAUGAGCAGAGCAGAGAGCUAUGACAUUGGCAACCCUUGCAAAGCUGGACAUUGGCAUGAUAAGUUCCUUACAUGUGAAGUAUAAUCAAGUGCCAAAAUAUUUCUGUCAUUGACUAGGCAGUCAUUUUUAUCCUGCCUAGGAAACAAAAUUCUGCUGCAGGCACACGUAGAAAAGGUAAGACCCGAAUCAUAGCUCUACUCAUUAUUCUAUGAAGCAGAAAUAGAGGAAAAGAAGCAACUGUAAGCAUAAAGUGUCUCUAUUUUAAAAGCAGGUCUGCUCAUGACUUAAAUGUGCUGUCACACUCCUCAAUCUAGUAUGUGUCCUCAGAGUCACCUUCAUGGCUUAAUUUUAAGAAGAGAGCAAUACAGAAUUCAGCUUUGAUCUGAAUAUGAAUUUAGGUAGCAAUGACUUUGGUGAUGACAUUUCUAUAUCAUUUUCUAUAUUUCAAAGGGCAGGGGGAGGGUAGACCUUGCCUCUCUGAUUAAUGCUGAAUCCAGUUGACUAAAGUACAUUAAGAUGACUGGAGGCAAUAUUUCUACAGAAAUAAUUCUUCACUUCUCCUAUAAAGUCACAUCAAAGUAGCAAAGAUUUUGAUAAUAUUGCUAAAGCAAUAGUUUUAAUAUAUCUGGAAAAAAUAAUUUCUAACUUGGGGUUCUGUGUUUUUUCCAACUAAAUCAGGCAACCAUACCUUUCUGUUAUCUAUCCUGGCCAAAUGUACUUGAGAGACUUUUAAAAAAUUAUAAGAGGCUUUUCACAAGGUCAUUUGUUUCAGGCAGGCUGAACUACAAGCUCAAGUCUAGGAGUGGCUGGAGAGCUGUAGCACAACAGCAAACUUGUCUAAGUUAGACAGUUCUAUUAUCCUUCUCUCUGGGUAGGGAGGUAAGCCACAGGCCAGUGUUUCUCAACAUGUGGCCUGUAGACCUUCCGCAUCAGAAGGUCUUGCUGCCUUGCUAAUUCAAAAUGCAGAUUCUGAGGUUCUACCUCAGAACCAACUAAUUAUACUCUCCAAGAGUGGGUGCUGGGGAUACAUUUUUUUAAAGAGUCAUUCUAAGUGAUUUUUAUCUCCCUAAUAUUCUCAAAGUGUGGUUCCUGGAACAGCAGCAUCAGCAUCACAUGGGGACCUGUUACAAAGGCAAAUUCUCAGGCCCCACCCUGGACCUUGCUAAAACAGAAAUUCUGAAGGUGGGGCCCAAGAAUCUGUUUUAACAAGCCUUCCAGGUGACACUGACAUAUAUGAAAAUUUGAAAACUACCAUAUCAGGUACAUAGAGGUACAUAGCAGCCUCAAAACAAGAACUCUGUGAAAUAGUGAAUUAUCAAGGGCUAGCAUGUGAGGUACAGGCUAAGCUAAAGCAGUUCUCCUGGACAGCAGGUCUUCUAGGGGAUUGAUUUCCAGAACAGUCAGGGCCUAUGAUGGGCUUGAUACUCUUCAGAAAAGAUGAUAGUUUAUUUUGACUCUAUUGACAAAGUAAUAUCUUUGUGGUGGUAACUGAUUGUAUCCUUUUCUCCACCAUAAUGAUGUCACCUGAAAAAUGUGGUGCUGGAAUUAGACCAUAAAAUGGCUUUCUUCCAUCCUUAGGGCCCUACUUCUCCACCUUUUAUAAAUGCCUAAAUUACCCAUUCAGUGCACUGUUAUAUCUUGUUGAGCUGGGGCACCUGGGAGCUGGUACAUAUAGGGAGGAACCUUAUAUAGACAGAAAGCCCUGAGGUUGACUAAGGAAAGGGAUUUAUUUUUAAGAAUGUUCCAGCUGUGGAGUGCCUGGAUGGCUGUCGGUCAGGCACCUGAUUCUUGACUUCGACUCAGGUCAUGAUCUCAUGGUUUGUGGGUUAGAGCUCCAUAUAGGGCUCUGUUCUGAGGGCGCAGAGCCUGUUUGGGAUUCACUCUCUCUGUGUUCGUUCCUCCCCCACUUGCUCUCUCUCUCUCAAAAAUAAAUAAACUUGAAAAAAAAAAAAGAAUAUUCUAGCUGAAAUGUACCUCAGAGUCUUUUCAGAACUCUACGUACAGAAAUGCAAUCUCCAAGAAGUGGAAUUGUACGUUGACCUUUAGGUUGGAUUUACAGCUAGCUAUUGCACAACUAAAAAUGCCAACUUCAUUAAAUAUAGCCAUGAAAUACCUUAUUCAUUCUUGGUGAUGCAUUUACUAAUUAAGUAAAUGUUUAUUAGAUGCAUAUUGUAUGUUGGGCACUGGGCUAGGCACAUCAGUUACUGGUAACGAGUGUAUGUGUGCUCUGGCACACAUUUAAUUCAAUUAAACCCUGACUCGACCACUUAACUAGAUGUGGGGCCUUGAGCGAGUUACUCAAUCUUUCCAGAUUACUUAAUCCUUUAUGCCUCAAUUUCACCUUCUCAAAAAAAGGGAAUAAUGAUAUUACCUCCCUCUUACAACUGUUUUGAGGAUUAAGUGGGUUAAUUCUUAUAAGGAACAUAUAGCCAUGGAAAAUGGUUAAUAAUUGUUAGCUGCUAGUAAUAAUAUUAAUAAAAUAAAAAUAAUAGAUUUAGUAAGUUCUGUUCUAGGUAACUAAUACUCCACAGAAACUACUUCCAGAAUGGAGUCCAUUCCCUAGUGUGAACGGCAGUCUGUUUCAUCCCACCAAAAUAAUUGGAGAAGGCACAUUUCCUGGCUCUCGAACCAGACUUAGAUCAAGAGCUUUCCAAAAACAACAAAGUUACCAACCACAUCCCACCAUUCUCUCUCCCAUAAAAAGAAGGGUCUGACAUGUAAAGAAAUGUCUUGCUUCACACUUUAUCAGCCUUUCUACCUCUCCUCAGGGCCAGGGAAACUGGGCUGUAGGCAUUAAUUACUUCCUUCUCAGAGUCAACACAUCACUGCCAUCUCCAUCUGUGGUGUUUCAGCCGCUACAAGUCUGAGGAGCAGCACUGGGUCUCGGGAGGCAGGAUCCUGAAAGCCAGCCAGAGCAUGGUGUCUGGAAACUCCUUGGUGGUAUUCCCAAUGGGUAAUAAGGUUCACCGCUUUGCUAUCUCUUUGGUUUCCAACGUGGCUUGGGAAAAGAGAGACUUACUGUGGUAAUAAGGAGGCCUGAAGGUCUUAUCGGCAACCCCCCAUCGAGGUGGGAAGAUGACAAAAUCAGCGACAGCCACCCCAGGGCGGACAGACUUGGCGGUCAAUACUGUGAAGAUGGAUGGGUCCUGUGAAAGCACAAGGAGACACUGAGCCCACGAUGGAAAGGAGGCGGCUGGACAAUGGCACAUGUGUCCCCACACUGGAAGGGGUUUCCAAGUUGAUGCUCUAAAUUCUGAUCAAACCACACAGGCCAGGCUAAGUGUUCUGGGCUUAUCGAUGAGGUGCAGUAAUCACUCAUCUGACUUUCCCCUCUUGCUGUGCAUGAAGCAAAAUGAAUUAAUACCAGCUAAGAAGACUUGGAACUGCUUUCUCAUCCUGCUGAGCCCCCAUUUCAUGCAAAUAUUACCAUGCGGGUCUGAGAACCAGUCGUGUCUGCCUCUCAACCUCAGGUCAGGGUGAGGAGCUGGGAUGUGCUUCAGGGAGUUCUUGGCAGAAUAGAUGCUCAGAGUGAGGUUGAAACAGCAAUAAAAUAGUAUCUAGCUUUUGGUAUAAAUGUAGAAUGUGCUUCUCUUUGGGGGCCUUGCAGAGAUUCCAGAUGCCAUCCUCAUUGCUUUCUUACCCCUGUUUGAUUCUCAGGUCUAAAAUCCACCACUUACAUCACUAGUUUGGACGGUGGUAGUGUCGAGGGAAACAAUAUUGUGAUUUUAAAAGAACUUUAGAAUCUUUCAGUGGAAAGAUUGAGAUUCAAUUUAAUUGAAAUCAAUGAUCAUGUUUGCUUUCACAUGCCAUUCUAGGGUCUGGGAUUUAAAGAUGGUUGAGAUCUAUCUAUUCCUUACCCCUUUAGCAUUACUAGUGGUGGUAGUGGUGGGGGGGGGGUUGCUGAAGGAGUCAUAAAACAGGUGUAUGAACAACUAAUCCUAGCAAGAUGCCAAGGAUAAUCUCACUUUAUAAGUAGAAAUCCAAGGGAGUAUAGAGAGUGCCUGCCUACCUGAGAGGAUCAGGGGAGGCUUCGAAGAGGAGGUGAUAUUUGAGGAAGGUCCUGAGGAAUGAAAGGAGAAAGAAAGAAAAAGGAGGGAGGCAGGAAAGAGAGGAAAAGGCAUUCGAAGCAUAGAAAACAAGAAAUACAUCAAAGUGCAUAGAGAUUUUGUCAAGAGGCAAGAAAGCAUUGCCAGGGUGCACUGGCAAAGGGAAGAGGGGCUAAGAGUUAAUACUGGAAAAAGGAGUCCAGGGCCAGAUGGUGGAGAACAUCAGAUACCAUGCUUCAGAGCUCAGAUGAUCCUAAACCACAGGGAGGCUGAAAAGGUUUUCUAAUGCAGUGGUAGAAUGACCAGACCUGAAUUUUGGCUUAUCGAUAAGGUGCGGUAAUCACUCAUCUGACUUUCCCCUUGCUGUGCAUGAAGCAAAAUGAAUUAACACCAGCUAAUUUUGGAAAAAAUCAAUGAUCAUGUUUGCUUUCACAUGCCAUUCUAGGGUCUGGGAUUCAAAGAUGGUUGAGAUCUAUCUAUUCCUUACCCCUUUAGCAUUGCUAGUGGUGGUAGUGGUGGUGGGGGGUGCUGAAGGAGUCAUAAAAUAGGAUUUUGGAAAAAUUUUGGGAAAAUAACUGUAGCAGCAGCACAGAGAUUGAAACUAUGCAAAGGCAAGCCAAAAACCCAACCCUAUUGCCGUGAGACUUUAAACUUCUUCAUCCGUCAUGAGAAAUGAUCUGAAACUGUUAAAGAAAAGGUAGUGAGGCUCAAAUAAAGCUCUAUCAGUGUCUCAGGGUCCUUUUUCAUGCUGUUUUGGUCUUGAUGCCUCAUUUUCUUUUCCCUUUUGGUUUUGUUACGAGUUGUUGCUCUUCAGAAAGGUAGUUUUGUCCCCCUAGAGAUAAACUGAACUGGCUCAGAGUAAUCUUCCUGUCUCUGGUUCUCUGGCUUCUGCUCUAAUUAUCCCGUCAGCUUGUGGGUUAAGUUAAUCUAUUAUGAACCAGGCUGCAAAAUGAACUUUCCCCCAGGAUCUCAGAGCUAGCACUUUUUCAUGAAUGUGGGGCCUUGGGAGCUUGCCCUGUAGACCAGGGACCUAUUUGUGGGCCUCUAAUUGAGUGAAAAAUAUGACCAAGUUCACUUUCUUUGGUUUAAAUUCAAGCACUGAACAUUCUGAGGAACUUUAGAAGAGGGCUGUCUGCUCCAUCACUGCUGAAAACAGCCAGGAGUAGAGGCACUGGAAUAGGCAGCUAGACCAAGCAGACUCAGCAUUUGUAAGCAGGACAGAGAACUUUCCAAAUCCAGAGAUUUUCCUUUCUUAUCACUUUAUCACUAAUAUUAGCCUUUUCCAAGAAGAAACUAAGUUUUUAGCCAUCUAUUGGGGUUGCUGUGAUCCUCUGUGUGAGAACCGGGCUGUGUUCAAGGGUGAGUGUUACAUGGAAGGCUUGGCUCUCCCACUAGCUUGUUAUUUACUCCUUCACCAAAGCCUUGCUGUAGAUGAUUCAAAUUCCUGUCAACAUAAUGAUGAAUGACUAUAUCGUGGCCUUCCAAGGGUGACACUGGAAACGUUAAAUCUGUGAACGUCAGGGGACUACUAUGGACCCCUCCCAUCCAAGGGGUACCCUAUCUCCAGGCCCCUCCAUGGUUCAGACUUACUGCGUGGUCAAAGGCCACUGAAUUAAUGACCAUGAAGUUCUCCAGGUUGUACUUGUAGGGGGUGUAGUUCCCGUGCCAGGCCACAACGUUAAAUGGGGAGACAUCCUGAUCACACAAACACAAAAAAAGCAGGAAAGGGUGAUCUUAGUACUUAACGCUUUUGUAGCUGUGAUUCUACAGUUUGUAUUUGGCAUCACUGUCUCUCCUGAUUUGAUUUUGUUCACAUAAUCUAAUAAUACCAUCCUUUGGGAGAAGUAUAACCCUGAAUCAUGUUGUGGUUGCUUCACGUGCCUACAGACUGUCCCUUGCUAAGCCACUAACCCUAUUUUUCCAGUUCAUAAGAUGCAGCUGCCUCAGAUCACAUGUGCAGCAAAAGCACAAUGCAUUCUCCAAGUAGUGCCUUUUCAACAAUUUUUAACACAGUUGUGAGAAUCUGCGAAUGUCAGCAAUUCUCAGACAAUCUGGGCCACCGUCUGGGUUUCCCAGUGCACUUGCUGUGACUGCUCUCCAGGUAAUUGCUGUCUAGAGGAGCUUCUGGUACACACAGUGCCUGGGUUGGUAAGUACAGGAGGGUGAGAAGGGAUCUAAGAGUUCCCUUAGGACUCAAGGACUUGAGUUUCCAGAACAAUCCUAAGGUGAUGCUUCCUGGGCCUGCCCUGGGGUAGGAGAGGAUCAGUGCUCUGUUACAGGAAGGUAGUCCCCAUUGUAGUUAUGCAUCUGUUCUGGAAACGGAACCCAAUUCAGAAUGUUCUAAAGACUUUACUGAAGGGACUACUCAGACAGAUAUGAUUAGAGUUAAGUGAACUGACUAGAGAUGGUGAGGUUUCUGAGUCUAGCAACAGUGGGAAGACAUUGCCAUUGCUGGGCCUGAGGGAUAUGGGAAGAAAAUGCUGUUAUAGGAUUCAAGCAAGAGCUAGAACCAUGAAGAAGGGGCUGUUUAGUGGUGUGGUGGUAUAUAUUUAACAACUGCCUCUCUGGAAAAAAUUAAAAAGCUCUGUUUUAUAGCAUUUGCUAAUUUCUGGGGUAUAAAUACUCUCACCAUGAUCAUUUUUUUUCAUCUACUAAUGUGAUGUUGCUGAACAAACACAAAGCUGGGAAGAAUGUGUAUAUUAGCUCUUUCAUGCCAGUAUGAACUGGUUUCAGCACACCACCGAGGCUACCCAACAGGAGCUGAGAUCAUGGAGGGAUGAAGUCCCAACUAGGCAAGAAGCAGGGGAAGAAAAACCCCAACUUGUCUUUCCUCCUGCCCUCCAAUUUCCUGUGAGUACCUCUCACAGGUUGAACCUAACCAAAAGCCUAGGGAGCCCAUAUAGGUCAAGCUCUCAGGUGACAGAUCGUGGCAGAGAACUGAUAAUGGAUCAACGUAGGAGGUCACACAAGGAAUAACCAGCACAGAGUUCACUUGGGAAGUGGAAACCCAUGGAGCUGCUGGCUGCCUCUAGAAUGAUGGCUCUCUCUCAACUGUAUGUCAAAAAUAAUAUGGGGAGCAUGCUUAAAAUGACUGAAGGUUUCCACACUCCGUUCCCAGAAGUUAUCAUUUUUGCCAGGCUGGAGUAACAUCAAAGAACCUGCAUUUUAAACAAGCCUCCCUCAGAAUUUCUGAUGCAAAUGAUCUCUGAACCACAUUCUGAGAAAUCCUGACCCAGACAAUAUGAAGGUGACAAUGUGUCAAUAAGGCAGGCAAUUAACUCUCAGGGGUUAAUUUUAAGUGCCAAACUAUUUGGCCUCUGCUGGUUAGCAUACCCUCUAGAUGCUGUCCAAGAAAAAUAAUAUGCCUUGAAAAAUAUAAGCAAUAUGUCAAAUGGGCAAAAAUAAUGCUAAUAGAUAAUGGUAAACAGAAGAAAUCUUUGGAUUGCUUUGUUUAUAUGAUUACUUUCUGCUAAUAUAUAUUCCAUAUAUUAAGUAAUAAUAUAAUAUAUCUGAUAUAUUAUAGAUUACAUAUUGUUAUUAUUUGUUAAUAUAUCCCUAAUAAGGGAUAAGCCUUUGCUUGUCUUUGAGUUUACAAGGCUGUUGGUAUAAACUAAGUCAAGCUAAUGAACUGAGUUCUACUUGUUUUGUAUCAGUCAUGGCUUGUAUUUGAAAUAUGGUGCCAUUGAUAAUAUAAAUAUUGGGUGACCUGCUUGUUUACUCAUUUCCCUUUUCAGAACAAACUAUCCUGCCUGUAUAUUAUAUUUUAUACACCAUUUAUAGAGAUCUACUAUAUUGCCAGGAUUUUUAUUGCUUGGUGAGUAGAAAGAGCAUGACCUUUGGAGUCAAAGAGAUAUAGGUACUAAUGCUUGUUCUGCCAUUUACUAUGGCAUUUGGCAAAUUAUUUGUAAUUCCCUUUUCAUGACUAUAAAUGAGACAAAUAGUACCUUAUUUGUAAUUAUUUAGUGGUAUGGUAAAGAUUAAAGAAUAUAAUAUAUGUCAAGUACUUAUAAAGAUUAAAGAAUAUAUGUCGAGUACUUAACACUGGCCUUAGCAAUCAGUAGGUGCUUAAUAUUCCCUUCCUGUCUUCCAAUCAUCCUCUUACUUUACCUGUUUGGCAGCAAAUAGCUUGCCCUGGUAUUUAUUAAUCACAGUGUAGCCACCUGGCACUUGGCGAUCUUCAUACCAGGCAACGGGUAUCAAAAAAUCACGAGGAUUGGCCAGGCCAUUAGCUCCUAGAACACAGCAACCCAAAAGUCUUUUAGACACUUGUGAAAUCAUAUAGGAAAGAUGCCUACAGUUGCACAAAGAGAAAGGGCUCUCUUCCAUGUCAAAAGCCAUUCCAUAAUUUGUUUUCAUUGUCCAAAUGCUCAUUGGAAUCCUUUUUACCUUUUAACUCCUAAAAGGAAGGUAAAGGAUUAGGAAAAAGAUUAGGAAACAUGAUUAGUAAAAAGAAUCAUGAAAAUCAUCAUCAUCAUCAUCAUCAUCAUCACCAGCAUCACCUCCUAAAGUUGUAGAGUAAGUAUGGCUUAUCAACCAUGUUACAGGCAUUACUGCAUCACUGCAGGUGAGGGGAGAGGAUGAGGCUAGAAAAGAGGCAAAGGGAAGGUCUGGUAGAAUACUAGAACUUCUCUUUUAAGAAAACCAUGAUGAUUCUAGAACUCAUCUACAGUCCUUGAUCUCAAAAAGGAAGGGUUACAUACUGUUGCCCCAGGCAUGCCUCUGCUCCUCAGACAGAACUCAGAAUCAAUCUGCAGAAUUGCUCUCCAGCCUGACAAAUCUGUCUGCCACUCAGGAAAAAAGUAUUCAGGACUUGCCUGCUUACCUUUGCUUAGGAGCGAGUGUUCCCUCCAGAGAAGGAAAAUAAAUCAAAAGACCAAAAAUAAAAAGUAUAAGUGCAAAAACAUAAUUUAACUCUGAGAGGAGAGACCUGGGGAGUGUUUUAUCAUUUCCAGCUCCUGGGGUUAAAAAAUAUAAGCCCCCAGCUGGUUAGUAAAUUAUAUAUAUUUUCCAGAGGGUACGUGUUCCAUGGAACCUGGAGGCUAUGCUGGCUGUAGAGCAGCAGGAAGCCAGACUGAAGUGGGAAGAGCGGGUGGUGAGCAGGAUGACAGACGGCCCACCGUGGCUCCAGCUGCCUCUCUGCUGCCUCCCACCUUCCUCUGACUAUUUGGAUCUCCCCAGGGGAGUGACCAGAAGGCACAUGCUGGCCUGGCCUCUUUUGCUCUAAAAAAGCUGUUGACAAGGAAAGGAAGAACUGGGAGGUGUGGCCACCACCUUCAGCAAACAUGCCAAAGAUGAAACCAAGGGCCCAUUUUCCAAGCCACUCCUUUCACUCCAAGAGAUGUUUUGAGAACAACUCCUACCACCUUCACUUCUCUCCUGCAUCUUCUGCCUCCAGUUUGCCAGAAGAAUCGGGGGUGGGGACCUUGAUUCACUUUUGAAAGUUUUAAUCUGCCUCAUAGAGGCUGUGGUUUCUAGCUCCUUCAUAGCUCCGAGUUAACUGUGUAGAUUUUGUGGAAUGUGAUGAGUAGGAAUGUGAAGUUUGUAGACUAUCCGCACUUCAGCCUGUGUCCCCUUUCCAUAGGAGUAUAGCCCUUGUUUAUAGCUUUUCUCUACUUUAUCGUCUACACACACCCUAUUGACUUAAGAAGAUGAUCUCCCUCCUAUUCACAAAGCUCAUUCCCACAUGUAUGUUUUUGCUUAAGCUGUUCCCUUUCCUUUUAUUUUUCCUCAACUCUUCGUCAAGGAUUAAUCAAAUCUCAUGUCUUCUGUAAAGCUGUUCCUGGUGACUUGGCCCCCCAGUAACCCAAACUUCUACAUCCUUCAGGAUAUACACUGUAUAACCAGAAAUCUAUUUUACAUUGUCUGCUCUUUAAUGGUCUAUAUACUACCCUAGAGAGAGAGAUUUAGAACAUGUUGGCUUUGGUUGUUCACUUUUAUGUAUGUAUUUUAUGGGAAAAGGCUUGUGUUACCCUUGAUGAGAUUCCUGUCAGUACCCUCAGCACAACACAAGAGCCAAGACUAGCUGAUGGAUUGAUAUACCGAUGAACUAAUUAAUGAUUUUAUUUCAUCAGUUGGGUCGGCCAUGACACUGAAUCCCUGAACUUAGAGGUCUGAAAAAAAUAUUUGGGGUUGCUUAGGGAGUUCUAAUAGGUUUCUGAACUUCUCAACUACAUUUGGUCUAGAGAAGUUGUCUGGAGAGGAAAGUUGAAAUUUGAGUGAGAUAAUGAGGGGAGAAGGGUGUGUCACUCUCAUGAGAUUAUCUGUCCUAUCUCUCAAGGGAGCCUAAAAGCUUGUAGUGAAGAUUUACCAAUUGGUCCCAGGUCAGGCAACUCAAAGUGGACGCCGUAGACCUCCAGGAUGUAGCCCCUGGUCUCCUCGAAGACAUCUAUGCUGAACCGCAUUCCUCUCUGGAAUGGGAAGCAGACACUGGUUUUAUGCUAGGUGCUGGAGAUAAACAUGACAGUCUCUGCCCUUAGGGAAUCUAUUACAGAAGACCCUGGAAGUGUGGGCACUUUCUGAUAGGAAAAUAAGGAAAUAGUUAUCUGUGUAUGUCAAGGUCUGAGCCAAAGAUCUCCCUGCCAGGACCCAGAUCUCAGGCUUCAGGAAGAGAAGAUGCAGGAAUCCUGAAGAGCACCAGGAGAAGAACCGUCCAGAAGUUGCGAGGGACACUGGAACUUGCUAAGUGGGACCCAAGUCCUUUCAGAGACCAUUACUCUGGCAGUGUACAGAACAAAAAGGAACACUACUUCUGACAAUGGGAGACUAGACCUGCUUAAACAGCCUCUGGCCCCUUAAACCCUAGGACAGUCUACUUCAAGGGGUGGAGUUUGCCUGGCCCUACACUGAACCAUUUGGGAGAUAAAAGGGCUAGAUUGUCCAGGUUCCAUUUGAUUCCUCCAGUUCUAAAUGAUGUGACCUCUGACCUUGGACUUUAUGCUUAUGAAUAAACCAAGCCUCUGUA